AUGUCAGACCUCCAGAUGGUGCUCAGCGACACAACGGCGGCCAGCGCCGUGACCGGGAGCGCCAUCGCCGCCUCGUACAAUGACCAGAUACGGCCCCUCCUGGACGCCGUGGACCGCCUGCGCCACCUCAAGGUGACGCAGGAGGGCAUCCAGCUCCCGACGAUCGUGGUCGUGGGCGACCAGUCGAGCGGCAAGUCGAGCGUCCUCGAGUCCCUGGCCGGCAUCAGCCUCCCUCGCGGCCAGGGCAUCUGCACCCGCGUGCCGCUCGUCAUGCGGCUCCAGGACGACCCCGCCGCCGACUCGCCGGUGCUUCAGCUUGAGUACAGCAACGGCCGCGUGGUGACCACCACGGAGGCCAAUGUCGCGGACGCCAUCAACGCCGCCACCGCGGAGAUAGCCGGGUCAGGCAAGGGGAUCUCCGACGCGCCCAUCACCCUCGUCGUGCGCAAGCGGGGCGUGCCCGACCUCACCCUCGUCGACCUCCCCGGCAUCACGCGCGUGCCGGUCCAAGGCCAACCCGACGACAUCUACGACCAGAUCGCCAGGAUCAUAAGAGAGUACAUCGCGCCCAAGGAGAGCAUCAUCCUGAACGUGCUCUCCGCCACGGUCGACUUCCCGACGUGCGAGUCCAUCCGCAUGUCGCAGCAGGUGGACCGCACCGGGGAGCGCACGCUUGCGGUGGUCACCAAAGUCGACAAGGCACCCGAGGGCCUGCUGGAGAAGGUCACCAUGGACGACGUGAACAUCGGCCUCGGGUACGUCUGCGUCCGCAACCGCAUCGGCGAGGAGACGUACGACCAGGCGCGAGUCGAGGAGGAGCGGCUGUUCAAGUAUCACCCGCUGCUGUCAAAGAUUGACAAGGACAUGGUGGGCAUUCCUGUGCUCGCGCAACGUCUCGUGCAGAUUCAGGCGACCAUCAUCGCCAAGUGCCUGCCGGACAUCGUCAGGCAGAUCAACGACCGCCUUAGUCGCAGCAGCACCGAGCUUGACCAGAUGCCACCGGAUCUCAACAACGUUGCUGACGCUGUGAGGGAGUUCUUCCACAUCCUCAAGCUGGUGUGCGCAUCACUGGAGAAGAUUCUUGUGAGGAGUGAGUUUGACGAGUACCCCGACGACAGCCAUUUCCACGCCACUGCCCGUAUUGCCGAGAUGUUCGACAGGUAUGCGAAGAAGCUGCCUGCACAAAUCCCAAAGGGCAGUGACCAGCUGUUUCUGAUGGAGGAGAUGAGAGUGCUGGAGGAGACCAAGGGCAUCAACCUCCCCAACUUUCUGCCAAGGUCGGCAUUCCUCGUCUUGCUCAAGAAGAAGGUGGAUACAGUCAUGCAGGUGCCGCACGACCUUGUGAACGAGGUCUGGAAUUACGUCGAGGACAUUGUCGUCAAGGUACUCAUGCAGCAUUCAGACAACUUCCCUCAGGUGCAGUCGGCCUGUCGCCGCGCAGUCCAGGGCAUGUUCGAGAAGGCACGAGCGCGAUCUGCCCAGCACGUCAAGGAGCUGAUCGAGAUGGAGAAGGUGGCCGACUACACGGCCAACCCCGACUACAUGAAGACAUGGUCGGAGAUCAUGCAGUGUCAUGACAGGUUCAUGAAGGCCGUGGAGGACAAGUCCAAAUCAGCAAAGAUCACCCUUGAGUUUUUUGGAGAGGUGGACGUGUCCCACAUGAGGGCGCACGCCGACCUGGCAAGGCAGGCGUUCGACCUCAGGGCGCGCCUGACCGCGUACUGGAAGAGCAUCAUGCUCCGGCUCAUCGACGGCCUGGCCCUGCACAUCCUCCUCGGCGUCAAGCGGCUCGUGGAGAAUGAUCUGGAGGAGGAGCUCGCCAACGAGCUGCUGCGCAACAAGAUGGCCGGGAUGGAGCGGAUGCUCACGCCGUCGCCGAGCAGCGGCACCAAGCGCGAGCGCCUCAAGAAGAGCAUCGUGCUGCUUCGCCAGUCCAAGGAGGUUGUGGGGAGCAUCAUGGACAGGAUCUGCGCCUCAGGUGAACUCGUCUGA
RNAcentral lists this ribosomal RNA (1992 nucleotides) under Triticum aestivum (bread wheat). RNAcentral describes it as "partial small subunit ribosomal RNA". Lineage: Eukaryota; Viridiplantae; Streptophyta; Magnoliopsida; Poales; Poaceae. The record is from RNAcentral.